CGGGGGUACACGGGCAAACCGGGGCUGCAGGGCUGGCCGGGUCGUGCAGGGCAGCCUGGCUUGGAUGGGUCCCCUGGCUUAGGGGGCAAACCUGGGCUGUGUGGGCUGCCUGGCGAGCAGGGGCUGCAGGGCUUCCGUGGGGACCGGGGGCUGGCUGGUGAGAAGGGAGAAGAGGGCUUCUUGGGUGACCCUGGACCUGCUGGGGAGAAAGGCGAGAAGGGAAUGAAGGGGGUGAAAGGGGAGAGCGGCCUGCCUGGUCCUGCUGGGGCUCACGGGAUGGCAGGUCUGAAGGGUGCAAUGGGCUUCCAGGGCCCUGCAGGGCCGGAGGGAGAAGGUGGUUCAGUGGGUGCCUCAGGCCCUGCUGGCCCUAUGGGACAGCCAGGC
This 384-nucleotide long non-coding RNA is filed under the name Gallus gallus (chicken). RNAcentral describes it as "long non-coding RNA NONGGAT003050". The record is from RNAcentral. Lineage: Eukaryota; Metazoa; Chordata; Aves; Galliformes; Phasianidae.